CGGAUUGUAGGCUGCAACUCGCCUACAUGAAGCUGGAAUCGCUAGUAAUCGCGGAUCAGCAUGCCGCGGUGAAUACGUUCCCGGGCCUUGUACACACCGCCCGUCACACCACGAGAGUUUGUAACACCCGAAGUCGGUGAGGUAACCUUUUGGAGCCAGCCGCCUAAGGUGGGACAGAUGAUUGGGGUGAAGUCGUAACAAGGUAGCCGUAUCGGAAGGUGCGGCUGGAUCACCUCCUUUCUAAGGAA
This 248-nucleotide ribosomal RNA is filed under the name Rossellomorea aquimaris. RNAcentral describes it as "Bacillus aquimaris partial 16S ribosomal RNA". It matches the Rfam family "Bacterial small subunit ribosomal RNA", at positions 1294 to 1533 of the family's 1533-position model. Lineage: Bacteria; Bacillati; Bacillota; Bacilli; Caryophanales; Bacillaceae. The record is from RNAcentral.